UUCCUACGGGAGGCAGCAGUGGGGAAUAUUGCACAAUGGGGGAAACCCUGAUGCAGCGACGCCGCGUGAGCGAAGAAGUAUUUCGGUAUGUAAAGCUCUAUCAGCAGGGAAGAAAAAAAUGACGGUACCUGAGUAAGAAGCACCGGCUAAAUACGUGCCAGCAGCCGCGGUAAUACGUAUGGUGCAAGCGUUAUCCGGAUUUACUGGGUGUAAAGGGAGCGUAGGCGGCGCGUUAAGUCUGAUGUGAAAACCCGAGGCUCAACCACGGGAGUGCAUUGGAAACUGUUAUUCUAGAGUAUGGGAGG
This 305-nucleotide ribosomal RNA is filed under the name uncultured bacterium. RNAcentral describes it as "bacterial SSU rRNA". It matches the Rfam family "Bacterial small subunit ribosomal RNA", at positions 336 to 655 of the family's 1533-position model. The record is from RNAcentral.